AUACUUACCUGGCAGAGGAGAUACCAUGAUCAGGAAGGUGGUUUUCCCAGGGCGAGGGUUAUCCAUUGCACUCUGGAUGUGCUGACCUCUGCAAUUUCCCCAAAUGCGGGAAACUCGAUUGCAUAAUUUGUGGUAGUGGGGGACUUCAUUCUCAUUCUCCCCU
Small nuclear RNA from Onychomys torridus (southern grasshopper mouse), 163 nucleotides. RefSeq annotates it as U1 spliceosomal RNA. The transcript has a single exon. The record is from RefSeq and is a predicted model, not a curated record. NCBI's taxonomy places the organism in Eukaryota, Metazoa, Chordata, Mammalia, Rodentia, Cricetidae.